UGUCUCAGUUGUUAAAGGCCAGUCCUCUUCCCAGCACUGAAGAACCCAGUAUACUAAAUAACCAGUUCUCACUCAGUUCAGAGAGUCGAAGCUGUCUCAACCACUUUGCCUGGCUUCUGGUGCUGCAAAGAGCAUCAUAUGACUCUGGCCCCCGUUGUUACUACCCUAAUUGCUAUUCCUUAUUAAGCAGCUAUUCAUGCAUUAUACAUACAUCACCUCUAAUCUUAUAAGGUAAACAUUAUCACCUGUCAUUUUACAGAGGAGGAAGCGCAAUGAGAGAUUAAGGGGUGUGCCUGUGGUCACAGCUAGGAAGAGGCAUGGCCGGUAUUCCAUCCGCAGCCUUAGGAUCUCUGCUUUUCAGCCAGGAUCAAAACUUUGGGGAAAACAGUUGGUCACCUGGUCUCUUUUUAAUAAUGCUCAGGACAAAUGAAUCAAGCAUUUAAACUAAAAAAAGAAGAAAGCAAACUUAGGAGACUUAGAAGAUUCUCUUGGCAAUAAUUCUAUAAACCUAAAAGUAUUCUGAAAUUAGAAGUUUAUUAGAGAGAUAGCCGGGCACGGUGGCUC
This 564-nucleotide long non-coding RNA is filed under the name Homo sapiens (human). RNAcentral describes it as "non-protein coding lnc-PPARD-1:1". Lineage: Eukaryota; Metazoa; Chordata; Mammalia; Primates; Hominidae. The record is from RNAcentral.